Hevea brasiliensis (rubber tree) is the source of this 248-nucleotide long non-coding RNA. RefSeq lists it as uncharacterized. The record is from RefSeq and is a predicted model, not a curated record. The transcript is spliced from 3 exons. NCBI's taxonomy places the organism in Eukaryota, Viridiplantae, Streptophyta, Magnoliopsida, Malpighiales, Euphorbiaceae.
UAGGAAUUGAUUUGUAAACGUUUGGUUUGGAGGUGGAAAUAGUAUCAGCCAUUCUCAUGAUUUCCUCAACUAAAUCAUUUCUCACGUCCAUGGCUGCGACGAACUUAAUCCUGAUUCUACUUAUGCUGAUGAUUUCCUCUACUGCUUUGUCUGGUGAAGAUUACAAUCCCCCUCCAGCUCAUGAUGACCCUUACCCGCGUGAGAAAGCAGGAACGAAACGGCCGGCGAGCAAUGGCGAUCCAAGUACG